This 26-nucleotide non-coding RNA is filed under the name Homo sapiens (human). The record is from RNAcentral. Lineage: Eukaryota; Metazoa; Chordata; Mammalia; Primates; Hominidae.
UGCUCAAGAUGGCUGAGCUGGGGCUG